RNAcentral lists this ribosomal RNA (460 nucleotides) under uncultured bacterium. Its description in RNAcentral is "partial 16S ribosomal RNA". It matches the Rfam family "Bacterial small subunit ribosomal RNA", at positions 338 to 795 of the family's 1533-position model. The record is from RNAcentral.
CCUACGGGAGGCAGCAGUGAGGAAUAUUGGUCAAUGGCCGGAAGGCUGAACCAGCCAUGCCGCGUGAAGGUCAGUGCUCUACGGGCGUUAAACUUCUUUUGUGCGGGAGCAAUAUUGGUCACGUGUGGCAUGACGAGAGUACCGUACGAAUAAGCAUCGGCUAACUCCGGGCCAGCAGCCGCGGUAAUACGGGGGAUGCAAGCGUUAUCCGGAUUUAUUGGGUUUAAAGGGUGCGUAGGCUGGGAGGUAAGUCAGCGGUGAAAUGCCCCCGCUCAACGGGGUGAAGUGCCAUUGAUACUGCCUAGCUGGAAUGCGGAUGCGGUGGGAGGAAUGUGUGGUGUAGCGGUGAAAUGCAUAGAUAUCACACAGAACACCGAUUGCGAAGGCAUCUCACGAAUCCGCGAUUGACGCUGAUGCACGAAAGCGUGGGUAUCAAACAGGAUUAGAUACCCGGGUAGUC